This 655-nucleotide ribosomal RNA is filed under the name Salmonella enterica. RNAcentral describes it as "bacterial SSU rRNA". It matches the Rfam family "Bacterial small subunit ribosomal RNA", at positions 71 to 719 of the family's 1533-position model. The record is from RNAcentral. Lineage: Bacteria; Pseudomonadati; Pseudomonadota; Gammaproteobacteria; Enterobacterales; Enterobacteriaceae.
GGAAGCAGCUUGCUGCUUCGCUGACGAGUGGCGGACGGGUGAGUAAUGUCUGGGAAACUGCCUGAUGGAGGGGGAUAACUACUGGAAACGGUAGCUAAUACCGCAUAACGUCGCAAGACCAAAGAGGGGGACCUUCGGGCCUCUUGCCAUCAGAUGUGCCCAGAUGGGAUUAGCUAGUAGGUGGGGUAACGGCUCACCUAGGCGACGAUCCCUAGCUGGUCUGAGAGGAUGACCAGCCACACUGGAACUGAGACACGGUCCAGACUCCUACGGGAGGCAGCAGUGGGGAAUAUUGCACAAUGGGCGCAAGCCUGAUGCAGCCAUGCCGCGUGUAUGAAGAAGGCCUUCGGGUUGUAAAGUACUUUCAGCGGGGAGGAAGGUGUUGUGGUUAAUAACCACAGCAAUUGACGUUACCCGCAGAAGAAGCACCGGCUAACUCCGUGCCAGCAGCCGCGGUAAUACGGAGGGUGCAAGCGUUAAUCGGAAUUACUGGGCGUAAAGCGCACGCAGGCGGUCUGUCAAGUCGGAUGUGAAAUCCCCGGGCUCAACCUGGGAACUGCAUUCGAAACUGGCAGGCUUGAGUCUCGUAGAGGGAGGUAGAAUUCCAGGUGUAGCGGUGAAAUGCGUAGAGAUCUGGAGGAAUACCGGUGGCGAA